Molecule: non-coding RNA, 961 nt
Organism: Hippopotamus amphibius kiboko
Lineage: Eukaryota; Metazoa; Chordata; Mammalia; Artiodactyla; Hippopotamidae
Source: the annotation of a RefSeq genome assembly
AUGGAGAGAGAAAGGGAGUGGGGUGAUCAGGACGCCAGCAGGGUCUCAGGACCCGUUUUUGUGCUGAGCCCUGAAGCUGUGAGCACAGAUACUCAGUACUUCGGCGCUGGCACCCGGCUGUUGGUGCUAGAGAUCCAGUACUUCGGGCCGGGCACGAGGCUCCUGGUGAUAGGCGCCACCCUGACCUUCGGGGCCGGCAGCCGGCUGACCGUGAUGGAUGACCUGAGCCAGGUGAGCCCACCCAAGGUGGCUGUGUUCGAACCAUCGGAAGCAGAGAUCGCCCGGACCCAGAAGGCCACGCUCGUGUGCCUGGCCACGGACUUCUACCCCGACCACGUGGAGCUGAGCUGGUGGGUGAACGGGAAGCAGGUCCAGACCGGGGUCAGCACGGACCCUCAGCCCUACAGGGAGGACCCCAGCCGCAAUGACUCCCGCUACUGUCUGAGCAGCCGGCUGAGGGUCUCGGCCGCCUUCUGGUCCAACCCCCGCAACCACUUCCGCUGCCAAGUCCAGUUCCACGGGCUCACGGACGAGGACGAGUGGCCCAAGCAGGACAGGCCCAAACCCAUCACCCAGAACCUCAGUGCCGAGGCCUGGGGCCAAGCAGAUUGUGGUGUCACCUCGGUGUCCUAUCAUCAAGGCGUCCUGUCUGCCACCAUCCUCUAUGAGAUCCUCCUGGGGAAGGCCACCCUGUAUGCUGUGCUGGUCAGCGCCCUGGUGCUGAUGGCCAUGGUUAAGAAAAAGGAUUCCUGAGACCAGCUCCAAAAGUGCAUCCUGUGUUGUUCUUAGUCUUCACCCUGGAUUCUCCUUAAUGUUUCCAGUCUGCAUUCCUAAAGAGCUUCUCUCUCUCCACCUCUUAUUCUCCUUCCCACACGGAUGUCUGUCCCUUCUCUCAGCUUCCCUGCAGACUGAGUGCCUCACCACUGAAUCUGAAAUUGACUAAAGCAAUAAAGGUGUCAUG